This 427-nucleotide ribosomal RNA is filed under the name uncultured bacterium. RNAcentral's name for it is "bacterial SSU rRNA". It matches the Rfam family "Bacterial small subunit ribosomal RNA", at positions 355 to 774 of the family's 1533-position model. The record is from RNAcentral.
UGGGGAAUUUUGGACAAUGGGGGCAACCCUGAUCCAGCCAUCCCGCGUGUGCGAUGAAGGCCUUCGGGUUGUAAAGCACUUUUGGCAGGGAAGAAACAGCCUGGGCUAAUAUCCCGGGCGACUGACGGUACCUGCAGAAUAAGCACCGGCUAACUACGUGCCAGCAGCCGCGGUAAUGCGUAGGGUGCAAGCGUUAAUCGGAAUUACUGGGCGUAAAGCGUGCGCAGGCGGUUCGGAAAGAAAGGUGUGAAAUCCCAGGGCUUAACCUUGGAACUGCACUUUUAACUACCGGGCUAGAGUACGUCAGAGGGGGGUAGAAUUCCACGUGUAGCAGUGAAAUGCGUAGAGAUGUGGAGGAAUACCGAUGGCGAAGGCAGCCCCCUGUGAUGAUACUGACGCUCAUGCACGAAAGCGUGGGGAGCAAACA